This 343-nucleotide ribosomal RNA is filed under the name uncultured soil bacterium. RNAcentral's name for it is "bacterial SSU rRNA". It matches the Rfam family "Bacterial small subunit ribosomal RNA", at positions 26 to 363 of the family's 1533-position model. The record is from RNAcentral.
AGGACGAACGCUGGCGGCGUGCCUAAUACAUGCAAGUAGGACGCUGAAGGAGGAGCUUGCUUCUCUGGAUGAGUUGCGAACGGGUGAGUAACGCGUAGGUAACCUGCCUGGUAGCGGGGGAUAACUAUUGGAAACGAUAGCUAAUACCGCAUAAUAGUAGAUGUUGCAUGACAUUUGCUUAAAAGGUGCAAUUGCAUCACUACCAGAUGGACCUGCGUUGUAUUAGCUAGUUGGUGGGGUAACGGCUCACCAAGGCGACGAUACAUAGCCGACCUGAGAGGGUGAUCGGCCACACUGGGACUGAGACACGGCCCAGACUCCUACGGGAGCAGCAGUGGGAAUC